RNAcentral lists this ribosomal RNA (497 nucleotides) under uncultured bacterium. RNAcentral's name for it is "partial 16S ribosomal RNA". It matches the Rfam family "Bacterial small subunit ribosomal RNA", at positions 28 to 507 of the family's 1533-position model. The record is from RNAcentral.
GAUGAACGCUGGCGGCGUGCCUAAUACAUGCAAGUCGAGCGAACGGACGAGAAGCUUGCUUCUCUGAUGUUAGCGGCGGACGGGUGAGUAACACGUGGAUAACCUACCUAUAAGACUGGGAUAACUUCGGGAAACCGUAGCUAAUACCGGAUAAUAUUUUGAACAGCAUGGUUCAAAAGUGAAAGACGGUCUUGAUGUCACUUAUAGAUGGAUCCGCGCUGCAUUAGCUAGUUGGUAAGGUAACGGCUUACCAAGGCAACGAUGCAUAGCCGACCUGAGAGGGUGAUCGGCCACACUGGAACUGAGACACGGUCCAGACUCCUACGGGAGGCAGCAGUAGGGAAUCUUCCGCAAUGGGCGAAAGCCUGACGGAGCAACGCCGCGUGAGUGAUGAAGGUCUUCGGAUCGUAAAACUCUGUUAUUAGGGAAGAACAUAUGUGUAAGUAACUGUGCACAUCUUGACGGUACCUAAUCAGAAAGCCACGGCUAACUACGUG